UCGCUUCACUCCCUCCUUACUCGUCCCCUUAUUCCUCCGCAUCUCUGGAUCCGGCCAUUGCUGACCCUCUACUUGCCCCGUCGUCGUUCCUUGGGUGCCGACCGGUGGAUGGGUGUCUGAGCUAGCGCCCACCUGCCGAUGCGAGAUGCAGCUUCCCGGAGAUCCACCGCAAGCCGCCGCCACAUCUCCUCCUCCUCGAACCCUGAUUCGAGUCCUCCAUUAAGGAGGUGGCAUUGUUGGUACUCUUGCCACGGCCAAAGCAGCGGUUGCAGCUAUGGUACUUCCAGGAGGAUGGAAAUAUGUGGUUUCUUCUUGGAAAGCAAAUAUCCAAACAUUGUCCGAUGAUGCCACAACAGAUCAGCCUCUCAAGAUGUAUGUGUGGGAUCUAGAUGAAAUGCUUAUUCUGCGCAAGGCGCUGCAGAUGGGUUGUUUGCUGGGAAUUUUGAAGGCCUCAAGAUUCAUGAAAGAGGCACUGAAGUAAGCAAGCAUUGGGAUACCAUUGUUCUUGAACUCUGCGAUGAGCCCUUCUUGUAUGAGGAGGUCAGACAACACCUCGAAUCUUGUCUGCUGACAGCUUACUAGAGAAAUGCAUUUUUGUAUGCUUGUCAGUUGUCAUUGUGCCUAAAAUACCAAAACUGUACCACUUUUCUUCUUUUGAUGUUAUGGAUAAGCCAUAUCUAG
Long non-coding RNA from Triticum aestivum (bread wheat), 681 nucleotides. RefSeq lists it as uncharacterized. The transcript has 3 exons. The record is from RefSeq and is a predicted model, not a curated record. Lineage: Eukaryota; Viridiplantae; Streptophyta; Magnoliopsida; Poales; Poaceae.